Molecule: long non-coding RNA, 994 nt
Organism: Felis catus (domestic cat)
Lineage: Eukaryota; Metazoa; Chordata; Mammalia; Carnivora; Felidae
Exons: 2
Source: RefSeq, a predicted model, not a curated record
GACACACAAAAGGAGAUAGAGUUCAAUAAACUCUCAUUCUCACCAUCCUGAUUCAAUAAUUACCAGGAUUCUGCCACAUUUGUUUCAUUUACUCUCCCUUUUUUCUCUGAUGUAUUUUACUUUUUUUUUAGUAAUCUCUACACCCAACGUGGGGCUUGAACUCACAACCAAGAUGGAGGUGCACGCUCCUUUGACCGAGCCAGCCAGGUGCCCCAAUGCUGAUGUAUUUUCAACCCAAUCCUAGACAUGUCAUCUUGCUUCCAUAUACUUGGAUACUGUACCAAGAAGCACCAAGCACAGGACUUAAUAAACACAAGAAAGAGGAAAAAAAGUAAAGAACACACUAAGCAUCUGCAGAUUACAAGGUAUGAAUGAAUGUGGAUCACUAAGAAACAUGCAGGACAGUGAAAAUUUUUACAUAUAAAAAGUCCUUGACUGAGCAAAAGAUGAUGAUUAAGUCCAUCAUCAAAGUCCAUGUAAAGCUAUGUCAUAGACACAAACAGCCACUACCAGUUAUCAAACCAAAAGCCAAUGAUAAUUAUACCACUUCCCACUGUUACGUGAACUAUAAAAAACGCUUUUUGUACAACAAUUUUUCUGGCUAAAACAAUGUGAUCACUCAACCUAAGGUUGUAAAUUUUUGUUUUUGGCCAGAAGCCACUAUAACACCAUGGAUAUUGCCAUAUUGCCACCCAAACUUUAGUUUGUAACUGGUACACCAAAAUGCCCAUUUCUCUACAUCCUUGACAACACUGGAUUAUCAGUUUUUGACUUUUUUUCCGACAUGUCUAGAGUUUAGGAUUUGUUUUUAAAUUGUAUUUCACUGAUUACUAGUGAGGCUGAGGAUCUUACAUUUAUUGACCCUUUGAAUUUCUUCUAAAAUCUGCCUUAAAAAAAAGAUCUUUCUAUUGUAUUGUCUGUCUUGUUUCUAAGAACUAAAAACUGUGAAUAGCAAUCUUAUCUGAUGUAUAUUAAAAAUAUUGUCUGCAACUUA